Molecule: ribosomal RNA, 429 nt
Filed under: Pseudomonadota bacterium
Lineage: Bacteria; Pseudomonadati; Pseudomonadota
Description: Proteobacteria bacterium partial 16S ribosomal RNA
Rfam family: Bacterial small subunit ribosomal RNA
Source: RNAcentral
UGGGGAAUAUUGGACAAUGGGCGAAAGCCUGAUCCAGCCAUGCCGCGUGUGUGAAGAAGGUCUUCGGAUUGUAAAGCACUUUAAGUUGGGAGGAAGGGCAGUAAGCGAAUACCUUGCUGUUUUGACGUUACCGACAGAAUAAGCACCGGCUAACUCUGUGCCAGCAGCCGCGGUAAUACAGAGGGUGCAAGCGUUAAUCGGAAUUACUGGGCGUAAAGCGCGCGUAGGUGGUUCGUUAAGUUGAAUGUGAAAGCCCCGGGCUCAACCUGGGAACUGCAUCCAAAACUGGCGAGCUAGAGUAGGGCAGAGGGUGGUGGAAUUUCCUGUGUAGCGGUGAAAUGCGUAGAUAUAGGAAGGACCACCAGUGGCGAAGGCGACCACCUGGGCUCAUACUGACACUGAGGUGCGAAAGAGUGGGGAGCAAACAGG